AACGCACAUUGCGCCCCUUGGUAUUCCGAGGGGCAUGCCUGUUCGAGCGUCACUUCAACCUUCAAGCUCUGCUUGGUAUUGGGCACCGCCAGCAUCGGCGGGCCUUAAAAUCAGUGGCGGCGUCGCUAGGUCCUGAGCGUAGUAAUACUCCUCGCUACUGGAUGUUAGUAGAUGUCUGCCAUCAACCCCAACUCUUAAUGGUUGACCUCGGAUCAGGUAGGGAUACCCGCUGAACUUAA
This 239-nucleotide unclassified non-coding RNA is filed under the name uncultured fungus. RNAcentral's name for it is "partial contains 5.8S ribosomal RNA, internal transcribed spacer 2, and large subunit ribosomal RNA". The stretch from base 1 to 52 matches the Rfam family "5.8S ribosomal RNA", at positions 103 to 154 of the family's 154-position model. The record is from RNAcentral. Lineage: Eukaryota; Fungi.